GUUCUAUUGUAGGUAGUUGAUCAUGUUUGAUACUGCUCAUAUUGCAUUUUUAUUUUAGAAAGUACAAUUGUUAGCAAAUACCCUCCUUCUUAAAGCAUAUUUUAUGUCUCUGUUUUCAUUAUGCAUCCCUAUGCAACAAACAUCUGUAUACUAUUAAUUAAGCAAAUCUGGCACUUGAUGUUAAAUUCUUAAUGUCUCAUCAUAAAAUCAUGAUGCUUCUUCUUACUGAAUUGUGGCUAUAACCACUUAAUGUUCCCCACUUACUUUGCCUUAUUGAUUAGUUAAUGGAGACACACUUUGAAGCUUAUCCUUGUAUUUCUACUCGCUUUUCUUGUCUCUCUUGUAUAUUUUCCUGUAUGCCAGGUGUCCUGUUUGUAUUAUUUGUAAUUCAUAUCAGCUAACAAACGUGCUUUUCUUUUCCUUUUUCUUUUGUAUCCUUCAGCAUUCUCCACAAAAGUAUUUCAUCCUUUUCUUUGUCCUAAUUUUCAACUAGGGUAUCCUAUUUUUUGAACUAUUGUCCUUUUCUUUUCAUUUGAUUGAUAUCCUGCUUUUAAAAUCAUUCACUUGAUUCUGGCUUUCUAGAAUUGUUUAGUUGAUCCCAGC
RNAcentral lists this unclassified non-coding RNA (603 nucleotides) under Hevea brasiliensis (rubber tree). The record is from RNAcentral. Lineage: Eukaryota; Viridiplantae; Streptophyta; Magnoliopsida; Malpighiales; Euphorbiaceae.